GUUUACGGUCAUACCACCCUGAACAUGCCUGAUCUUGUCUGAUAGGAAGCUAAGCAGGGUUGGGCCUGGUUAGGGCUUGGAUGGGAGAAGCAAAUGAGAUAAGAAACAUGAGGAAGAUUUAGAAAUUAUAAAGU
This 134-nucleotide ribosomal RNA is filed under the name Propithecus coquereli (Coquerel's sifaka). Lineage: Eukaryota; Metazoa; Chordata; Mammalia; Primates; Indriidae. The record is from RNAcentral.